GGACAGUGCUCCGGGGGAAGCGGGCGGCCUCUGCGCGUGGGGACCCUGGCCGGCCGGCGGCUCGGGGAGGCGCCCAGGAAGGACGAGGAAGCGGGGUGGUGAGGGUGCGAGGAGAGCGACUCGGCUUAAGGGGGGAGACCCAGCUCGGGGCGUCACGGAGGGAGGCAACGGCGGGAAAGAUGACAAGGACAUCGGGGAGGAAUCUAGAGGGGUGAGAAAGGCGGCGCAAAGGGACCGAGACCAGAGAGUGACCCAGAAGUGGGGUGGGGACCUCCUCAGGGUGGACACGGAUGGUUGGAGAGAGACAGAUUUACUAAAGAGGUAAAUAAAUCCUCGGAAGCCGAGUGCUGGAGGCGGCCGAGAAGCUGUCAGGGCGCGGCCGUCGCCUCCUCAGGGAAAGCUCUGAGGCAUGGAAGGGCCGCCGGGACCCGCCGGUGCAGGAGCCCGCGAGGGAAGCCGUGUGGGGCGGGGCGCAGGCCUAGGAGGCAGCAGUUGCACCCUGGGGUGAGGGGAAAGGAAGUAGCCAGAGUGAAGGCUUUGAGCGGGUGAUGUCUGUUCUUCGCCUGAAGUGCAGGACCCUUACCACUUCACCCCGAAUCUUCGCUGUUUUCUCCACCCUGAGCUUGCCCCAAAUCUAACCACAGGCAGACACACCCAUAUAAGGGCGGAACUUGGGCAAUCUUAAAAAGAAGUCAUUAAAAAUAAACUCCCUGGGCUUUUAUAGCAGCCUUUUUGUAAAUUAUUUUUAUUCAACAGAGAUAGGGGCCUGCUUUAGAAAGUAGAUGGACAGUGUGCGUGUUGCAGUCUAUUUAAAUUAUGUAUUGGUAAGGUCAGCUCUCCAUGAACUUUGAAAUCAUGUAAUUGUUUCAAAAGCGAAACCAUUCACUUAAGACUUGUUUUAACCAACCUAUACCUCCAUCCCCACCCCGCGCCUUCCAGAGUAAUUAAAUGUAAAUAUAUAUAAAUGUAUACAGUAAGUCCCUGACUUAGGAGCUUUCGAGCUUCAAACUUUGACAGGUGCCAAGGGACCUCCGAUUACGAACAUUCAUAAAUGCAAACAAAUUGCGGAAGUAGCGCGUGUCCGCUGGACGUUGUCACAGUUGUGCCGCUUGUGCUUACUGCAUAGUGUGAUAGUGUAAUACUACUCAAACAUCGGGAUCUUUUUUCAAGAGUGUAGACAAUUGAAUCCAUCAAAACUCCUGUGUCGGCCAGGUGUGGUGGCACCUGCUUGUAACCCCAGCACUUUGGAGCCUGAGGCUGCGAAUUCAAGGCCUGCCUGGGCUACAUAGUUCAAAGGCAGCCUGCACUAUACAGUGAGACCCUGUCUCAAAAAAUAAACAAAAAACCCCUGUUUGAGCAGAAUUCUAUCUUGCCCUCCAUCUGCCAUUGCAGAUGGUCCUUCAGCUCCACCUUCUCCUCCCACCCUCCCUCUUCCAGUUAGUAAGGCUCUUCUUGUCAGUUGACCCCAUGUGCCAGUUGUAGUGUACCAUCAUUUUUUUUUGAGGCAAGACAUUUAUUUGUACCACCAUUUUAGGGUAACUAUAAAGUAAAAAUUGUUUGUUUAGAGUAUUUGUGUGUGAGUGUGUGUUUGGUGUUUUUAUGCUUUACAUUGUGUAUCUGUGUCAAAGGUAUAAGACUCACUUUGUCCAACUUAACAAAGGAAUACGACUUAGGAAGCGUCUCCCCAAACAGAACUUGUCCCUAAGUCGGAGACUAACUCUAUAUGCAUUUCUUUCUUUGAUGCGGUCAGGAAAAGUGUCCAAAAUGUGGAAAUGGGCAAGAGAGAUUACUGCGUGUCCUUUCAGUGGGGUGCUGGAUUGGGUGCUGUUUGUUAGAACUUCACGAGAUUAUCUGAUUCUAAAGUGUCUGUACCCUCGUGGACUUCCUAUUGACUAGGUAUUUUCCAGCUCUGUAUGGGUGGAAGUUAACUUGUAGGAAACUGGUGAUAGCACAAAAGAUCCUUGUUCAUAGCAAUGAAAAUGCAUGUUUUCUAGUAGAAAUAUAAGUGAUUUCUGCCAGGUAAAAAAAUAAGAAACUCAAUAAUUACACUUUGUCCUGUGUGAUGUUAACUAGUUAAACCAGUUUGGCUUCUAUCAGCAAACACAUUUCAUUGGCUCAUGCCUGUGAUCCCAGCACUCCUGGAGGCUCCUGGGCAACUUAGCAUUUUAGCAAGACCUUGUCUCAAAAAUGGAAAGAUCUGAGGAUGUAACUCAAUAUGAAGGCCCUCGGUUCAAUCCCCAGUACUGAAAAAAAAUUUUUUUUUCAUCCUAAUUUCAAAUUCCUUUGUACUUUAAUACAUUACUAGUUCUCCUUUGAAGUCAACAUCUUACUGAAUCUUAAUUGGACAGAAUCUUAGGCUGAAUCUCAGAUUGCUUGUUUGUGUGGUACUGGGAAUUAAACUCCAGGCCUUUGCCCUGAGAUACAUCCCCAGCCCUUUUUUAUUAUUUUUAUUUACUUAUUAUUCCUUUAUUUUUGAGAUAGUGUCUCACUAAAUUGUCCAGGCUGAACUCAAACUUGUGAUUCUGCUGCCUCAGCCUCCCAGAGUACUAGGAUUAUGUGUACACAACAUCAUGCCCAGCAGAUAGAUUUUAAUUUUACUUUUGCAUGAGUCGUGUUUUUGAAGAAUUAUACUUUAGCACAAUCCAUGUUAUUGUAUAGUCUAUAUCAGAUUGAGUGAUUUUUAAAAAUUAUUUUUGCUGGGCAUGGUGGUGCACAACUGUAAUCCAGGCUAAGGCAAGAAGAUUGCAAGUUCAAGGCUAGCCAAGGCAAUCUGGUGAGAUGCUAUCUCAAAAUCAAAAUAAAAAGGGCUUGGGCCGGGGCUUUAGCUCAGUGGUUUCGCCACCUGCUGCGCAAACGCAAGGACCCUAGUUCAAUCCCUGGUACCAAAAACAAAAAAUAAAUGAAUAAAAAGGGCUGGAGAUGUAGCUCAGUGGUACAGCGCUUACCUAGCAUGUGUGAGAUCCUGGGUUCAAUCCCUGUUACUGAAAAAAAUAAAACCUUUUUUAUGGGCUCACUUUUUUCCUUAAAAAAAAAAUUUUUUUUUCAGUACUGAAGCUUGAACUCAGGACCUUGCAUUUGCCAGGCAGGUGCAGCACCACUGAGCUACAUCCCCAGCCCCUCAAAAAAAAAUUUCUUUUUUUUGGCACCAGGGAUCAAACUCCGGUCCUUGUGCUUAUGGGGCAGGUGGCAGAACCACUACGCUAAAUCCCCGACCUCCUCCAAAUUUUUUUAAUGUACUUAUUAUUCACUCAGUGGCAAGUUCAUUGGAUCACAACAUGAAAGAUUAUCUCCUCAUUAGUAUUUACCACAAGAAUUAAAACAAUAUUGAAAUAGUGUUAAAUUUAGAGCAAAGAGAUUAUUGGUGAGAAAACAUUAGGCUUUAAAAAAGUUCUUUUAAGGGUGACAGAUACAUCAACACCUUCUAAAAGAGGGUUUGGAGAGCACACUUUCUUCUAUGACAUUUAUAUUUUAAUAGCCUCAUCGAAGAGUUUUCUGGGGGUUUUUCAUCAAAGAGUUUUGAUGCUUGAUUUCAAGAUGGCAUCUUCAGCCCUGAAAUUCUCUCUCUCCUUCACAAAUCCCAGGGUAAAGGCCAAAGAUACACUGUAGUAUAAGAAUACAGUAUUUGGUUUUGUCCCAGGUUCCUGUCACAGAGCUUCUAAAGCCCUGGAAAUCUCCUGAGUGUAGUAGUAUCUUUGAUAUUCAUAAUAAGCCCCUUUUAGAAUACCUGAGUUUAGACUGAGGAGAUGACUUACUUGGUCCCUCUGGAAACCCUGAGGAUGGAGAGGCCAUCCUCAGAAAAACCAGGCAGUCAAAAGGUUGGAAUUUUCAGUCCCACCCACCAAACUCUAGGAAAGAGGAGCUAAAGAUAAAACUAUAAAAACUCCAGAACAAUAAGAUUUGAUAUUUUUUUCAGGUUGGCCUUAAGCUCAUUAUGUAGCCUGGGGUGGCCAUGAACUUGAGGCGAUCCUCCUGCCUCUCAGCCUCCUGAGUGCUGGGAUUACAGGCAUGUGCCACCACACCCAUCAUGAGAUUUGAUGUAUGGGUCACUAAAAUAGUGGAGAGGCCAGGAGGGUGGUAGGCCCAGAGAGGGAAUGGAAGCCCCACUCCACCUCCAUACCUUGCUUCUCUUUACCUGGCUGUUCAUCUGUAUCUUUUAUAAUCUCCAUUUAAUUGAUGUAAGUAGUGUUUUUGUGAGUUCUGUGAACCAUCCUAGCAAACUACUGAACUCCAGAUUGGGGACCAGGAACCCCAAUUUAUAGCCAGUCGGAAACUCAGGUCAUGGGCUGGCAAUGUGGCUCAGUGCUGUGCCUGCCUGGCAAGCACAAGGUCCUGAGUUCAAUCCCUGGUACCACAAAAAAAGAAAAGAAACACAGGUCACAACCUGGCACUUGGCAUUGCCAUCUGAAAUGGGGGCGUGGGUUUAUGGGACAGGUAGAUAGGUGUCAGAAUUGAACUGAAUUAUAGGACAUCCAGCUGGUGUCUCCUGGAAAAUAGCUUGGUGGUGUUAAAUCGAACUAAAUUUGGGCCAGUCCUAUGUACCAAACUGUAGCUUAAUUUAGUUUGUAAACAAACUGAAAACCAACUGAGGAAUGUGCCUUUGUAAGAAAUAACUUAGUCUCAGUUGAUCCCAUAUUUACCAUAGCCAAAAGGUACAUGCAAACCUAAAACAGAUGAAUGGAUAAAUAAAUGUGGUUUAUAAUCUACAGUAUUAUUCAGCUAUAAAAAGGAAGUUCUGACACAAGCUACAGCCUUGCAGAAUUAUGCUAAAUUAAAGAGACCACUCACAAAAGAACGGUACUAUAUAAUUUCACUCACAUGGGAUAUUUAGAGUAGUCAAAUAUAGAGACAAGAGAAUGGUGGUUGCCAGGGAUGGGGGUGGGGGGCGGUCGUGUAUAAUGGAUAUAGAAUUUCAGUUCUUUGAGAUGAAAAAAAGCUUUGUGGAUGGUUAGUGGUGAUAUUUGCACCACAACAUGAAUGUACCUAAUACUUAACUGUGCACUUAAAAAUGGUUAAAAUAGUAAAAUUUAAAAGACCUCAAAAAUCACGUUAACUUAUUUUUACCAGAGACACAAGUAUAUAGGGCUUUCCAAAGCAAAUGUGGAUCCUGACAAAUAGAUACAGCAUCAGAUUUACAGGAAAAGUCCCUUGGAGAGCCUCAGUUCCCCACCCCUUCUUAUAUCUCCAGAUUUUUUUUUUUUAAUUAGUAUUUCAAAACAGAAUGUCACUAAGUUGCGAAAUUGCCUGGGCUGGGCUCAAACUUGCAAUCUUCCUGCCUCUGUUCCUCCUGCUUAGGCUUCCCAGAGUCCUGGGAUGACAGGGAUGCGCUGUCAUACCUGCCUCCACCCACCAUCUAAGACACAAAUAAGGGAUUCCAGGAGAGCCUUGAGCAGGCUGUGGGGCCCAGGAGUGUGUGGAGAGGCUGGGAGACAAAUACUGUGGAAGGAUUUCAUUUUGAACACUGGCUCACUCUUUCUAGGCCUUUCCCCAGGGUGCACUUCACAGUGCCUGCCUGCAAUGCAAAGUUUGGGGUUUGCCUGGUGGGUUCCAAUCUGGGUAUAAGGCCAGGAAAGAGGACAGGGAGUUUGGAUAUCAAAUAUUGUAGGUGUCUCCUGGAAAAAUCCAUUGCUUGGUGACCACACUCCUGGCUAAAAAUGAUAUUCUGCUUUUCCCAGAAGCUGGUUUGGGAAGACUACUAGCAGGCCUGCAAAUUAUACAUAAACAGUUUAUAUGUGCUUGUUUUCAGGAAUGGCUUGACUGUCUCAUUUUCAUGAGCCUGAGGUACUCUGGUGUUGGACUUUUUGCUUGACAUUUGCAUGAACAGGAAUAGUUUACAUGUUUGAAGUUUAUGAAUUCUAUCAGUUAAAAAGUUGUGGUUUUCAAACUGAUGAAAGUAAGAGUCCCGUCUGUUAACAGCCUACUCCACCCGCACACAUCUACCCCUAGCUGAUGACAUCUGAGAACACUUGAAGGCCACUGUGAAAGGAGACCCAGCACUCCUCCUAGAAUGAAAUCAUCAUGUCAAGCAAUUUGGGUCCUGUCCUGGAGAAAUGUCCCUGCUGCUAUAUCUAGGAAGUCCACUGGAGCCCACUUCCGGACCCAGGAUCAGCUGAGCAGCUUCACAGCCACUCACUGCCCUGACGAGAAAGCAGCCAGACCUCAGAAGCAAAUCAGCAGGGCCAGCACCACUGUUGAGGAGGCCCAAAGGCUGUGAAGGCUGAGCUCCAGAUCCUCAUUGAUAAAAGCCAGCUGACAGCGAAGACCCCUUAUUAUCAGCGACCUCAGCCAACACACAACCUUCAAAACAUACUUUCUCCAGUUAUUUUGCAGUUUUAUUGGUUUCUUGCUAACCAUGUUGCUUGUAGCCCAUGUCUUCCUCUUUCCCCUCUCUUCUUCCUCCUUCUUUACCUUCUCUUGGUGGAUCUUCAUGUGUCUCUUGCAGAAAGCAUUCCUGGAUGGCAAACUUUUCGAAUCUUUGCAUGUGUGAAUACAUGUUAAUGUUGCUCUCACUUCAUUGUGGAUGAACUGGGUAUGGAAUCCUGGAUUCAGAAUAUUUAAGUGAUACUUCAUGAGGUAUAAAUUCUGAAUUCAGAAUAAUUUUCUGUCAGAAUUUGGUAAAACAUUUCCUUGAUAUUUGUACGACCUUGAAUUUGAUCCCCAUAGCUGCCAAAGAUAAAAAAUUGAAAAACUGAAAAAAGCCUUCUGUUCCCCUGGAUCCUCACACACACACACACCUUUUGGGAUUUCCCAGGAACCCAGACAUUUCCUGAGGAUACAGUGUUUCAUUAUUCCUUUUCAGCACUCAUGAGUCCCUUUCAAUUUGUAGACUUGAGCCUUUCUUCAGGAGAGAUUUAAAAAACACUUUUAAUAUUUCAUUCCUUCAAUUUUUUCUAUUUGUCCUUUCUGGAACUUUUGGUUGAAAAUUUAAAAAAAAACAAAAGAACAACUUGCCUGUAGCCUCCAUGACUCUUAGUAUUUUUCUUACUUGCUUCCUUUUCUUGCCUUUAUUCACAGAAUAUGGGAGAUUGCCCUAACUCAAUUUUGUGAACUUCCUCUUUGCAAAUUUGAUCUCCAUCCAUGCCCAUUUUGCUCUACUUCAGCCAUCUGUUGCAAGAUUUUUUUUUUUAUAUCAGCAGUCAUCCUUCUAAUUCCCAAGAACCCUACUUCUUUUUAUAGGGUGGGUCUUAUUUCUGUACUGGUGAUAACUUUGGUCCCAUCAGGAGGUUGUACACUUACUUGUUACAUUUAAUGAUUCUGCAGGUGGCUUUCCCUAAUUGCAUAAUUUUUUGUUUUUUGUUUUUUGUUUUGUAUUGGGGAUCAAACUCAGGACCUUUUGCUUUCAAGGCAGGUGGUGGCACCACUGAGCUAAAUCCCCGGCCUGCUGUUUGUUUGUUUUUUAAUUGCUUGGUUUUUGUUGUUGUUGUUUGGGUUUUGUUUUUUGAGACAGGGUCUCAUCAUGUAGUUCAGGCCAACCUCAAACUCACUAUGUGCCCCAGGCUGGCUUCGAAGUCUUGGUGAUCCACCUGCCUCAGCCUCCUGAGUGCUGAGAUUACAGGGAUCUGCCACCAAGUCCAGUGCAAUUGCAUGAUUUUUGACUGUCCUCAUUUCUGCUUAAGGGUCUUGGCCCUUUGACAUUAAGAGUUGAGACAUGUGUCUCCAGCCCGGGUGAGAUUCCCUGCUGUGUUAGGAAUAAAUGAAGAUUUGGGUACAGAGGUUCCAGCUCCAAGGACUGUGCAGAGCAGGAGGCAAAGGUGGGAGGUAAGGAAAGUAGUGCCUGGAACCUCUCUCUUGGCUACCACAGCAAACCUGGGACAGUGGCCACUUUCUCUGGUUCCGAUGCCUUCUCUGGGAGCCUCUUCUUUCAUGAUUUGCAUCUUAAUUUGGUAGGUAGUAAGCUUCACUUAAAAGUUUCACUUCAGGGGCAAAAGUAGAAAUCAGCUACUUUUUUGUUUGUUUAGUGCUGAGUAUUGAACCCAAGACCUUAUGCACGCUAAGCCUGUGCUCUACCACUGAACCACAACCCCUCAGCUCCAGCUUUGAGCUGCUUCUAAAACAGCCAAGAAUGAUGCAGAUGGGAGAAGAUAUUUGUGGCUCCUGCUCAUGAUUGUUUCAGUUUCUUUUUACUGGCCUCUCUGGAUUUCUAAGAGAGUUUACUUCUCCAGGGACCCUCUUUUUCUACUUUUAUGUAGGUGUUUAGGCACCUUGGCUCUGUGUGGUUUUGUUUUUGUUUUUGUUUUUUGUUUUGGGGGGCUCUGUGUGUUUUAUCAAUCUGCUUCAUAUCUUUCAUUAAUCAGUCCUUUUUAAAAAAAUAAGUCAGGGCCGGGGAUUUAGCUCAGUGGUUCCACUGCUUGCCUCGAAAGCACAAGGACCUGAGUUCAAUCCCCGGUACCAAUAAAUAAAUAAAUAAAUAAAUAAAAUUUAAAAAGGUCAGUCCUAUUUUGGUGCUCUGACAAUAACUGGCCUGGAUUUCCAGUGUUGCUUUCAAGUGAAUCACUUCUAGGGAUUGGUUUGUUUGGUUUGAGGUGUAACUGCAAAGUAGAAAAAGCAUGCUCAAACUCAAUUUCUCCUAUGAUAUACUCUUCACAGACCACUUCUGUGAGCCUGAAAAGUGUGGGGAUUUCUCCUCACCAGCAACCAAGCAAUCAGUUCUGCAGCAAACACUAGACUGGUGUUCUCUAGCCCAAUUCAGUUCUGACACUACUUGGAGUUUUACUGGAGGUAGAGUCAAAUUCCACAGAUCGAGGACUCAGUCCCCAUGUCUGCUCCUAUUUCAGACCCAGUCAGAAAUCUAGGCCUCUGGAAUUUCUGGCCAAUUAGCUUUAAACUGGAGUUCUCACCAAUUUGAUUAAUUUGCUAGAGCAGCUCAGAGUGGUUUAUUGUAAAGGAUUUUUUUUUUCCUCUUGUGUUGCUGGAGAUUGAACCCAGGGCCUUCACACUGAGCUAUAUUCCCAGCAUUUAAAAAACAAAAUUUGAGGCCUCUCUAAGCUGCUUUUCUUUGGGAGUGCCGUCUGGCCAGACUAAGGUCUGUUUUACUUUCCAACUUGUCUGGUGUGUUCCUUCCCGGGUGUUCUUCGCUGCAGUCAGCUCCUUGGAGCGUUUGGUAAGGCCCUUGGUCUUACAUUCUGGAGGCACCGCUGGGAUCCCUGGGUGUGCUUCACUGCAGUCAGCUCCUCGGAGCAUUUGGUAAGGCCCUUGGUCUUACAUUCUGGAGGCACCACUGGGAUCCCUGGGUGUGCUUCACUACAGUCAGCUCCUCGGAGUGUUUGGUAAGGACAGCGGUCUUACAGCCCAUAAUCAAAUCAGUAACUUUGGGAAAAUGCUGUGAUUUUGGAAUCAUGUCACAAUCAGAAAAUGAAAUUUUAAAGUUAUUAGAGUACUCUCAAUGAUAUAAAAAUUAGGAAACAUGAUAUUUCAGUGGAUUUUGACAAUAAACAAUAUGAAAGCAAAAAAAAAAAAAAAUUUUUGAGACAAGUACUCACUAUGUCAUUAAGUUGCCCGAGAUGGGCUCAAACUUGUGAUCCUCCUGCCACAGCCUCCCAGAGUGCUGGGAUUACAGGUGUGCACCACCGCCCUCGGGUUGUAAAGAAUAUUUCAAAGGACACAAAUAAGCAGCCAGACAAAGGGGUAUUUAGGGCACUGUCUAAAAGGCACGUGAGUGAAUCUUAUUCACCUCCCUGUGAGCUUCCAUGUGUUCAGGUGUCCAGACACUCUUUGAAUUUGGUCCUUUUGGGAAUUUUAUGGAGACUUCAUGGCAUAGGCAUGACUGCUGAUAGCCUGGGCAGGGAGCCCUGUGAAGCUUGCCUGUUCAGAUUCUUCAGCAUUCCUUCCUCCUGAUUAUGGAGAACCAUCUGGAAUGAGGAAGGUCUUAUGACCUAUUACUGGAUGACAUACAUGAGAGAAUUUUUCACAGGCAGCUAAAGGUGGAGGAAAAUUAGAAUUUCUUUCUACCUUCAAGAAGAGAAAUUCUAGUUCCUGUGUCCUGCCUCAAGAUGAACAGAGUUCUUAACUUUAGUGAUACUAGCUUAUUAAUAUUUUCUUUUAUGGUUAGUGCUUUUGUGCCCUGUUCAAGAAAUCCU
RNAcentral lists this long non-coding RNA (10073 nucleotides) under Heterocephalus glaber (naked mole-rat). RNAcentral's name for it is "lncRNA (ENSHGLG00100034269.1)". The record is from RNAcentral. Lineage: Eukaryota; Metazoa; Chordata; Mammalia; Rodentia; Bathyergidae.